UCACUGCCACUCCAUAGCGAGACUGCUGUUUUUUGGGCCCCUCUUUCCGAGGCUGCCCACUCACCCCCCCUCCGGUGUCUUGCAGGUCAUUUAUAAAACGAAUCUGUACGCCAUAGUCCACGGGGGUCUUCCUACCUGAGACAGGAGCAGACAUCCUAGAGGCCCUGACAGAAGCAAUAAGAUGUCCCUCAGAUUAUACUCCACUGCACAACCUGAUGUGAAGCCACUUUCCCCUCUACAGGCACUCCUCUGCUCAUUCUUAAAAAAGCACUUCACUUCAACAAGGAUACCAUGACUUGAUUGGAUUGUGAAAAGUGGGCAUUACACUCCAGAAUGAAGCCAUGUGGUUGGAGGUGAAAGGCUGAACAGGAACAGCUAUUUCAGAGGCGGUGCAAGUUACAUAUUGAUAAAGGAUUAUGAAGACAAACAUUCUUUGCACUUAUGAAUCCUUCACAAUAAGACCAGGAAUAUGCAUUAAUAAUAAGUAAACGGGGUCAUUUCAAAUUGCCCUUGUAGAUAAUGAUGGUCUGUCUUGAAAUGUUUCUAGCCUAUGUUACUCUCUAAAGGAGAACUUGAAUGGGAUUUUUUACUACCAGAGCCCUACUGUUGUGCUCUAUUGAGAUACAGACAGACACAGACAUGCAGACAGUCCAAUGAGGUAGGAUUGAAUUACACACUACUUAAUGCUGCCCGUUACCUCCGAUUCCUGGCACAGAGGACCCAAUGGCCUUCAUUAUUCAUUAACCUGAGCAGAAACGUUUGUUUUUCAUGAUGUAGACGUACAAUUGACUUUCUAUCCUAAACCACACACAUUUUUUAGAUUUUUAUAUAGACCUAGCAUGUUACUACUUCUGAUCAAAACUCAGGAAAGCGUCAGCAUUACUCAUGAUGUAAUGGAGCAGAAAACUGAAGGUGUGGCUGGUGUGAUGGAAUGAAAAUAUCUCAGUAAGGAACAUUAUAGCAUGAAGGGUGUGACGGAGAACAAAGUGCAUUCCCAGACAGUGGUACACCUUUACCGAUUCCCUUUGUCUUUUUGAGAGAGAGAGUGAUAAUAUAGACUAUCUGCAUAUCUGUGUCUGUCUGUAUCACAACAGUAGGGCUCUGGUAGUAAAAAAAUCCCAUUCAAGUUCUCUAUAUAUUAUUUUGUAUUAUAUUAGAAUCAGGGAUGUCCACUCCUAUGACUGAAUCAUGGAAAAAGCACUAUUGAGCAAAUAAAAAAACCCCUAUGAUUUUCCUUUAAUUAAAUGACCAAAGGUUCAGUUAAAACAAACUAACAGUCAGCCUAAGAUGAGUAAGAGAGUGUUAAGAAAUACAUUUACUGUGUGACAUUAAGGAGCCUUCAUGACUACUGUGAAUACAACGAACGGACUCAUUAUGUGUUGUGUCAUCAGAAAACUUUUAAGAUGGCUGACGUGUCCAUGUCAAUGACUGAGAGCAGACUGAAGAGAGCCAAGCUCACAUACGGGAGGCUCCUGUGCUGACAGAUAUACAAGCAGAAGGUUAUACAGGUGUAGCGAGAAAGUGGCAGCAGCACUUCACUGAUCGUUUUUCACUCUACAGACUCAUUCAUCAACUAUGUUUAUUGUAGUUGCGGAAGGAUUUAUGUACGUUUAAUUAAAUUCCAGCCCUCACACUUACAGGUGGAGUUUCAAUAUCAGACAACAGACUUUGAACACCAUAAAAGAACUAUAAAGGAAGGAAAGGCUUCUUUAGAGAUAGCAGGGGGGACACAGUUAUGUUGAAUAUGAUGAAAAUGUAUCCUGAGGGCCCACACAAAUGCUGCAAAAAUUUGUGUGGAAGCCAAAUGUAAUAUGGCAAUAAAUCUUUUUCAUUUUUCACAAUAUUAUAAAGAUAUUGUGUUUUGAGCCAAACAGUAAUGCUGGCACUUUUAUUAAAGUGCCUUUAAGGUAAGCAAGCUAGUGUACUUUUAUUCAAUGAGAGCUCGAAAAAAAUCCAGUA
This is a long non-coding RNA of Megalobrama amblycephala (Wuchang bream), 1959 nucleotides long. RefSeq lists it as uncharacterized. The record is from RefSeq and is a predicted model, not a curated record. NCBI's taxonomy places the organism in Eukaryota, Metazoa, Chordata, Actinopteri, Cypriniformes, Xenocyprididae. The transcript is spliced from 3 exons.